CGAAGGGUGCAAGCGUUACUCGGAAUUACUGGGCGUAAAGCGUGCGUAGGUGGUGAGUUAAGUCUGUCGUGAAAGCCCCGGGCUCAACCUGGGAAUGGCGAUGGAUACUGGCUCGCUAGAGUGCGGUAGAGGGUGGUGGAAUUCCCGGUGUAGCAGUGAAAUGCGUAGAGAUCGGGAGGAACAUCAGUUGCGAAGGCGGCCACCUGGACCAGCACUGACACUGAGGCACGAAAGCGUGGGGAGCAAACAGGAUUAGAUCCCCUGGUAGUCCACGCCCUAAACGAUGCGAACUGGACGUUGGGAGCAACUAGGCUCUCAGUGUCGAAGCUAACGCGUUAAGUUCGCCGCCUGGGGAGUACGGUCGCAAGACUG
RNAcentral lists this ribosomal RNA (372 nucleotides) under uncultured organism. Its description in RNAcentral is "bacterial SSU rRNA". It matches the Rfam family "Bacterial small subunit ribosomal RNA", at positions 526 to 896 of the family's 1533-position model. The record is from RNAcentral.